Molecule: long non-coding RNA, 1469 nt
Organism: Trachemys scripta elegans
Lineage: Eukaryota; Metazoa; Chordata; Testudines; Emydidae
Exons: 3
Source: RefSeq, a predicted model, not a curated record
ACAGCAAGCCACAGGAUCCCUGAGGCAUCCAGUUUGCAACUGCACUGUACAGACAAAAUGCAUUGAACAUCUCUUCUCAGCUGCUCCAGCUAUUUCCAUAUCCUCCUCAGUGAUCCUCACAGUAGCUCCAAUCUAGUUUUCUGCUUUAAAAGCCAUUUGUGAAUCCAGAUGGAAGGAUUCUGAAAUCCUUUCAGAUGAUUUCACAAGUGCCACUAAAGAAAGGAGGAGAAUGCAUCAACCUGGACAACAUCUAUAUCAUCCCUCUCCACAAACAAAGGCCUGCUUCCUGAGGAUGUCAAGCACUUCACAAAUAUCAAUGAACCACAGAAGUUAGGUAGCUGUCAUUAUCUCAAUUUUACAGUACAAAAACUCAGGCACAGAGCGGUUACGUGACUUGCCCAAAGUCACACAAGGAAGUCAAUGACAGAGAUGGGAACAGAAGCCCAGAGCCAAUGACUCACAAGAUCAUCCUUCUUCUGUAUAGACUAUAGAAUUUCCAGCAGACUAAAAGGCCCUGCUACCACAAAGAGUACUGCAUGGACAGAGUGAUCUGCCCACAUGGUUUUCUUUGCAGGAAUGGGAACCAGUUCUGCUAUAAUGUACAUUAUGGAGGACAUGACUUUUGUUUAUCCUAACAAUGUUUUCACUAUGGCAAAAAAAUCAAAAGACCAGAUUCUCGGUCCUGCCUUGCUUCCUUUGUACCACUCAGGCAACACAAAAGGAACAGAAACAUGCCCCAAUAUGAGGAAGUUCCUAGCAGGCACAGGAUGCAGCUCCAUUGCCUGUAGUCCUUCGUCCCUCCAGCCCAUGGCUUAGGGCACAUUCCGGGAGGGGAAGAGUGUUUUGAGACCUGGGGAGUGUCCAGAACACAAUGUAUUCUGGCAAUCCCCAGCUGCCUAUGAUCCUCACAGGGAUGAGCCCAUGUAGUUUAGGGCAGCUCCCAGGCUGCUCUAUCUCAUGCCUAGGAUUGGGCAGAGAAUUAGCAGGCUGUAAGUAGUUCCUUGAUGGAAGUAAAAAGAUAGUGGUAGUCUUCCCAGUGCUACCUGCAAAAUAAACUCUGCCUCCAUCAGAUGCCACCUACAACAGAUUGUGAAGAUAUUCCAAAUAAGAUCACACAUGGCACUGGGCUCAUUAUGUUAUUCUCCUCUCUCAAUGGAGUCCAAAUACACCCAUGUGCUUUGCUAGCACAUCAGGCUUUGUUUCCCUUCCAUGAGGCUUGUAUAGCCCCGUGUGCUUCUUGAUCGUGGCUCUCCCUGCAUUCUGCUAGGCUACUUGGCCUUGGCUCCUUCAUGACUGUGGGGUAGGGGGGAGGUUGGAGCUGAAUUCUCUCCCAAACCAUUUCUUACAUACUUUGAUGAACAGUGAAAUAGCCAAUGAUGUUAGUAUUUAAUAUAUCUCACUGGCAUUGGAGUUAGCACUGAAAGGGCUGGAGCAAGGCAUACCAAACAGCUAUUUGGUGGCAUAGCAAG